Molecule: ribosomal RNA, 257 nt
Filed under: Xanthomonas citri
Lineage: Bacteria; Pseudomonadati; Pseudomonadota; Gammaproteobacteria; Lysobacterales; Lysobacteraceae
Description: partial 23S ribosomal RNA
Rfam family: Bacterial large subunit ribosomal RNA
Source: RNAcentral
UAAGUAACCGGAGGAAAAGAAAUCAACCGAGAUUCCCUAAGUAGUGACGAGCGAACGGGGAGCAGCCCUUAAGCUGGAAUGGCUUUAGAAAAACAAUCUGGAAAGAUUGGCCAUAGAAGGUGAUAGCCCUGUAUUUAAAAGGGCCACUCCAGUGAAGACGAGUAGGGCGGGGCACGUGAAACCCUGUCUGAAUAUGGGGGGACCAUCCUCCAAGGCUAAAUACUCCUGACCGACCGAUAGUGAACCAGUACCGUGAG